RNAcentral lists this transfer-messenger RNA (360 nucleotides) under Ignavibacteria bacterium. It matches the Rfam family "transfer-messenger RNA". Rfam says of the family: Bacterial tmRNA, also known as 10Sa RNA or SsrA, is named for its dual tRNA and mRNA-like properties. Its role is to liberate the mRNA from a stalled ribosome. To accomplish this part of the tmRNA is used as a reading frame that ends in a translation stop signal. The record is from RNAcentral. Lineage: Bacteria; Pseudomonadati; Ignavibacteriota; Ignavibacteria.
GGGGAUGUAACGGAUUCGACAGGGUCGUGGAAGCUAUUAGCGGCAUAUCGUGUUAAUCGUAAAACACGUAAAUACAAGCGAUAAACAAUACAAUAAACGCAGAAUCUAAUUUUGCAAUGGCUGCCUAAAUAGGCAACCCAUUCACUUUGUGGCUUGCCCUUUGGCUGCUUAGUGGGUGUCGACUUAAAGGGUAUGUUCUUAAUCUGUGUAGCAGGGAGCGGGGACGAGAUUUUACUGUUGCUUGUCGGUGGAGACCUGUUGGUUGGUCACUUCGUCGAUGAAAGCCGUUAAUCAACUAUGUAUGUAGAUGCGAUAGAAGAAGCACUUUGGACGCGGGUUCAACUCCCGCCAUCUCCACCA